CCCAGAGGACCCCGCGGAGCGCUGGCCCGGCGGCUUUAAGUACCGGAGUACCCCUUAACGCUCGGUGUUGGGUCUUUAGGGUACGUGAGCACUUCGGUGAGCUCCUUUCCGGGUGCUCCAAGGACCGCCCCUUCCUCGAUACCGACUCUGGGCUCCGGCCCCCGGAAGAUGAGCUCGGCGGCGCCAAACACCGUCUCAUCCUUCCCCCAGGCAAACGGAGGCGCCCCUCACCCAUCCAGGAUUCCUCCUUCUUGGCCGCGGUACACCUUCGGAGGGGAGACGCCCGCAUCCCAAAGGAUGCUCACCCCAUCCCGUCGCUUCUCUUCAGCUGAGUCUCCACCAUCCGUUGUCGGGGGGACAGAGAUUACCCCCAAGUAAACGGGAAUGUUUGCUCCAGGCUGCACCUCGGAAUAAGGAAAAGUAGACUCAGUCCUGGAAAGCAUCUCAGUCUGGGGCGCCAGAGGCUAGUAGUUAAUAGCAGGUCAGUACCACUGACCUCAAGGUGCCCAGAACUUUCAUAGUCUUACAAACUCCUGAGGAGCUCUAGGAAAAGUUGGCUGGGAGUCGGGGUGUUCAGGCUGAUGUUCUCACUUAUCUAUCCACAAUUAAGUUGCUAAUUUUCUAUCCAGUUCAAGUUUCCAAGAGAGAAAAUCAAAUUAGCCUAACUGUCCCUGCUUGGGUGCAAGCCACAAUGUCCGUUUGUCCUUUCUCUAAUAGAAUCCCAACUUUUAGCUAGGCCUAAGGCUGUCUGGAGUAAAAACGACAUUUUUUGUCAUCCUUGCGUCUUGCCAGGGGGAUGAGAGCAAAGCGAUUCUUAAAAGGAAAAAGAAACCUCCUCCAUGCUGGCUGGAACACAGGCGAGUCAUCAUGGAUGGUGUGGAUAAGGAUGGCAAACCAAUCAGACAGAAAGAACUGAGCUCCUGACAGUUUGGUGGAACAGAGCUUGGGGCUUUAAUGUGAAGAGAUAUAAACUCUUCUAUUUUAUAUAAACCACUAUUAUACUAGGUUUCUGAUAUACAGAUAGCUAUGCUUAUCUUCUAAUUGGUUGGCUCCUAAUCAACUAGGGCUGGGGGAAGGGGCAUGUGACAGAGACACAGCCCUGACAGCUCAAAGAACAGCUGGAGGGAACCCCCUCCCCAUCAGCAGGAGAUACAGAGUGGGCAGUUUCUUUCCAAAAAUGUGUGUGAAAGGUACCACCAGUUGAUAUGUCUGAACGCCUGGGAAUACCAUCCUUCCUUUUGUUAACCUUCACUGCAAAAUCCCCUUUCUUUUGUUACCCAAUCAGUGGGUAGUUCUCACUCCCCCCUAGUCCUCUCACUUUACCUAUCCACAGUAGGUGACAGAAUGACUACUCCCUCCUGGAAACACUGGUUUUCCUCCUUGACUGGCCACUCCUUCUCAGGCACUUUAAGUAGUUUUUCCUCCUCAGCUUCUAAGCCGGUGGUGGUUAAACUAUAGCAUGAUCAGAAGCCCCUGGAGGCUUGGUGGCAGUGGACAGAUGCUUGAGGAAUGUAUAUUCUCUAUUAAAGAGUCACAGAAUUUGCAUGUAAAAUUUCCAACCACUCAUCAGAAUGAAAGAGUCACACUGAUGGGAGAGAAGCUGCAAAAGAGCAGUCCAGCAGAGAGCCACAGAAUGAAGCCAAGAUGGCUGGUGACAUCACAAGCAAUAACCAGGAGAGCCUUCUGGAACCUGACAAAUGCUGGUUGGGCAUUUUAAUCCUUACCCUAACCUGAUGGGAGGGGCAAUUGUGAAGACUGAAGAACUUGAAGCUAUCUGAGACAUGGAGGUCUACCUAGGCAGUUUAUAUCAAGCCAUGUGAUACAGCGGCCUGCAUCAACUUUGCCCAGAUAGGACAUUCAGGGUUGGUUUCAUCCUGUCCUUGGUCUGCUGGUGUAUGUUUGCUUUGUUCACUCACAACAGCUAGAAAAUAAUAGCAGCAGGGAUGCUUUGAAACCCAUCAGGUUACUUAUUCAAUUGAAGGAGGUCUCACUCUGUCUUACCCUUCUGUCAAACAGACUUCAAGGGAGUUAUGGAAAUUGCCAUUUCCUAGCAGGGUAGCUCCUAGGGGGUUAAUGGCAAGGAAAUAGUGGGAAUGGGCAUUUGCAUUGUGAGAGAAACCAACAAACCUUUAGAAGAAAAACACCUUUCAGCCAAUCUCAAGUCAUCCUUUUGCACCAAGACACACCACGUCCCUCCCUUUCACACAUCCCCAAACAGAAACAGAUAAGCAGUAGACCUGGAAGACCAUUAGGUCAGCUCCACAACCAAGUUCAGUAACAGCCAAGAGCUGCACAUGAAACUGACUCUUGGUAACAAGUAACCAACUUCCUGUGGUGAGUUAUACAUAUUUAAUUUCUAAUUCACUCUCUGAGUACCUUAAAAAUAUAGUUGUAUAUGGAUAGAUGGCUAUUUUAUUUUUUUUAGUAAGAGUGGAGAUAAGUUGACCUGAAGAAAAUCAGCCAUGUAAAAGGAUAUUUGAAGGAUUCUAGGGUUGAGUUACCAGAUUCUUAUCAGGGAUCUGCAAAGGAUUAUGCUGAGCUAUAGGGACAGGAAAGAUGUACCUCUUUUCCUGUCAUCUCUACUUUGCUACAAUUAGCACAACCCUGGAGACACUGAUGCGCCAGAACUGAUCAUGAAAAUGUGGCCUGUUACACCUCUAAGAUCAGGCCAGCCUCACAAUGGUCCUGGUCUAAAAUAGUGUUCCCUCUGGGUAGAAGAGUUAGAUCCUUUUCUGUUGACUCUAUGUGUUGCUUUGGAAAGUUUAACAGAAAUUUCCUUUGGCUGUGAAUACAGUGGUUAAAUGCAUAAGGCUUUAAUCCCUUUCAUUCAAGAUCAGAAGUGGGUAGUCCAGGGCUGGUAUGGAGGCUCCGUAAGAUUAUCAGGGCAUCAAAUGUCUUCUGUUUGUCUCCUCUCCAAUCCUUCAGGCAUGGCUUAUAUGCUUAAAGUCACAGAUGGCUGCUGGAAUUCCAGCCAUUAAAACCACAUUCUAGGUAGAAAGAAGGGAAGGACAAGGGCAAAAGGGAAGUUUUCUAGCUGUCCUCUCAUUUAAGGUGCCUUUUCAGAAGUCCUAUAGAACAAAUUUCAAUUAUAUCACUAUAUCAUUGGCCUGUUAAUUGAUAUAGCAAUAUAUUAUUGGUCUGAUAUUUGAUAUAUAAGUAUUUUAUUGGCUUGAUUAGCCAUACCUCACUGCAGAAGAGACCAAGAAAUAUAGUUGGGCGUUCUGCAAUUCAGGCAGGCUCAGAUUUCCUAUUG
RNAcentral lists this long non-coding RNA (3253 nucleotides) under Sus scrofa (pig). Its description in RNAcentral is "lncRNA (ENSSSCG00000048319.2)". Lineage: Eukaryota; Metazoa; Chordata; Mammalia; Artiodactyla; Suidae. The record is from RNAcentral.